RNAcentral lists this small nucleolar RNA (138 nucleotides) under Ornithorhynchus anatinus (platypus). The record is from RNAcentral. Lineage: Eukaryota; Metazoa; Chordata; Mammalia; Monotremata; Ornithorhynchidae.
UGCCUCUCAGGGUCACACCUGGAGAGAUUCCAGUACUCUACCAGUCUUCAUGACGGGAGGGAGAGUCAAGCAGAGGAAUAUCCAUUCCAUUCCAAGCUUGGGCAGUGGCUAGUGAGUGUAAGGCAAUCUGCUACAAGU